GACGACGCUGGCGGCAGGCCUAAAACAUGCAAGUCGAACGCGUGGCGGACGGGUGAGUAAUGUCUGGGAAACUGCCUGAUGGAGGGGGAUAACUACUGGAAACGGUAGCUAAUACCGCAUACCAUCGGAUUGGCCCAGAUGGGAUUAGCUAGUAUGUGGGGUAAAGGCUCACCUAGGCGACGAUCCCUAGCUGGUCUGAGAGGAUGACCAGCCACACUGGAACGGAGACACGGUCCAGACUCCUACGGGAGGCAGCAGUGGGGAAUAUUGGACAAUGGGCGCAAGCCUGAUGCAGCCAUGCCGCGUGUAUGAAGAAGGCCUUCGGGUUGUAAAGUACUUUCAGCGGGGAGGCGUUACCCGCAGAAGAAGCACCGGCUAACUCCGUGCCAGCAGCCGCGGUAAUUC
RNAcentral lists this ribosomal RNA (405 nucleotides) under uncultured bacterium. RNAcentral's name for it is "partial 16S ribosomal RNA". It matches the Rfam family "Bacterial small subunit ribosomal RNA", at positions 33 to 526 of the family's 1533-position model. The record is from RNAcentral.